GAUGGAUAGAAGAACCCCUGAUGCCGUCGAGCCAAGAAAAGUUUCUAAGUUUAGCUAAUGUUGCCCGUACCGUAAACCGACACAGGUGGGUGGGAUGAGUAUUCUAAGGCGCGUGGAAGAACUCUCUUUAAGGAACUCUGCAAAAUAGCACCGUAUCUUCGGUAUAAGGUGUGGUUAGCUUUGUAUUAGGAUUUACUCCGAAAGCAAGGAAACUUACAACAAAGAGUCCCUCCCGACUGUUUACCAAAAACACAGCACUCUGCUAACUCGUAAGAGGAUGUAUAGGGUGUGACGCCUGCCCGGUGCUCGAAGGUUAAUUGAUGGGGUUAGCAUUAGCGAAGCUCUUGAUCGAAGCCCGAGUAAACGGCGGCCGUAACUAUAACGGUCCUAAGGUAGCGAAAUUCCUUGUCGGUUAAAUACCGACCUGCAUGAAUGGCGUAACGAGAUGGGAGCUGUCUCAAAGAGGGAUCCAGUGAAAUUGUAGUGGAGGUGAAAAUUCCUCCUACCCGCGGCAAGACGGAAAGACCCCGUGGACCUUUACUACAGCUUGACACUGCUACUUGGAUAAGAAUGUGCAGGAUAGGUGGGAGGCUUUGAGUAUAUGACGCCAGUUGUAUAUGAGCCAUUGUUGAGAUACCACUCUUUCUUAUUUGGGUAGCUAACCAGCUUGAGUUAUCCUCAAGUGGGACAAUGUCUGGUGGGUAGUUUGACUGGGGCGGUCGCCUCCCAAAUAAUAACGGAGGCUUACAAAGGUUGGCUCAGAACGGUUGGAAAUCGUUCGUAGAGUAUAAAGGUAUAAGCCAGCUUAACUGCAAGACAUACAAGUCAAGCAGAGACGAAAGUCGGUCUUAGUGAUCCGGUGGUUCUGUGUGGAAGGGCCAUCGCUCAAAGGAUAAAAGGUACCCCGGGGAUAACAGGCUGAUCUCCCCCAAGAGCUCACAUCGACGGGGAGGUUUGGCACCUCGAUGUCGGCUCAUCGCAUCCUGGGGCUGGAGCAGGUCCCAAGGGUAUGGCUGUUCGCCAUUUAAAGCGGUACGCGAGCUGGGUUCAGAACGUCGUGAGACAGUUCGGUCCCUAUCUGCCGUGGGCGUAAGAAGAUUGAAGAGAUUUGACCCUAGUACGAGAGGACCGGGUUGAACAAACCACUGGUGUAGCUGUUGUUCUGCCAAGAGCAUCGCAGCGUAGCUAAGUUUGGAAAGGAUAAACGCUGAAAGCAUCUAAGCGUGAAGCCAACUCUAAGAUGAAUCUUCUCUAAGCUCUCUAGAAGACUACUAGUUUGAUAGGCUGGGUGUGUAAUGGAUGAAAGUCCUUUAGCUGACCAGUACUAAUAGAGCGUUUGGCUUAUCUUU
Molecule: ribosomal RNA, 1349 nt
Filed under: Campylobacter jejuni
Lineage: Bacteria; Pseudomonadati; Campylobacterota; Epsilonproteobacteria; Campylobacterales; Campylobacteraceae
Description: partial 23S ribosomal RNA
Rfam family: Bacterial large subunit ribosomal RNA
Source: RNAcentral